Molecule: ribosomal RNA, 777 nt
Filed under: uncultured Neocallimastigales
Lineage: Eukaryota; Fungi; Neocallimastigomycota; Neocallimastigomycetes; Neocallimastigales
Description: partial large subunit ribosomal RNA
Rfam family: Eukaryotic large subunit ribosomal RNA
Source: RNAcentral
UAUGUGAUCGUCUCUCGCAUAUCAAUAAGCGGAGGAAAAGAAACUAACAAGGACUCCCCUAGUAACGGCGAGUGAAGCGGGAAGAGCUCAAAUUUGAAAUCUUAAAGGGUUUCCCUUUACGAAUUGUAGUUUAAAGAAGUGUUUUCUGUUGAGGUUUUGGUAAAAGUUCUUUGGAAUAGGACAUCAUAGAGGGUGAGAAUCCCGUAUUUGACCUUUACUUUCAACUUUGUGAUACACUUUCAAAGAGUCGGAUUGUUUGGGAAUGCAGUCCAAAAUGGGUGGUAAAUUUCAUCUAAAGCUAAAUAUUGGCGAGAGACCGAUAGCGAACAAGUACCGUGAGGGAAAGAUGAAAAGAACUUUGAAAAGAGAGAUUAAACAGUACGUGAAAUUGUCAAAAGGGAAGCGUUUGACACCAGUGUUGUUUUUCUGAAAAUCAAUUAAAGAACUGUUUAUGCUAAGUUGUUUAGACUUUAUCAGCUAUCUGUUUAGUUUUGAGCUUUUCUUUAAUGCACUUUUCAGUUAACAAGUCAACAUCAAUUUCUUUUGCUGUAAAAAAGCUUGAGGAAGGUGGCUUGAGAUUCGUCUUAAGUGUUUAGUAGCCUCUUGCCUAUGCAGUCGGAGAGAUUGAGGUCUGCAGCGUAGAUCCUUCGGGGCUAAAUGCAUUUGUGCUAAGUUAUAGCAUUUUAUAGACAACUUGUUGACUAUGAUUUGAUCUUGUAGCUUACUCGCUUAUGUUAUUUUACCUACGCUUAGGAUGUUGAUAUCGCGCUCUCACUG